CAGUCGCGCGGUAAUACAGAGGGUGCGAGCGUUAAUCGGAUUUACUGGGCGUAAAGCGUGCGUAGGCGGCUUCUUAAGUCGGAUGUGAAAUCCCUGAGCUUAACUUAGGAAUUGCAUUCGAUACUGGGAAGCUAGAGUAUGGGAGAGGAUGGUAGAAUUCCAGGUGUAGCGGUGAAAUGCGUAGAGAUCUGGAGGAAUACCGAUGGCGAAGGCAGCCAUCUGGCCUAAUACUGACGCUGAGGUACGAAAGCAUGGGGAGCAAACAGGAUUAGAUACCCGAGUAGUCCCUGUCUCUUAUACA
RNAcentral lists this ribosomal RNA (301 nucleotides) under uncultured bacterium. RNAcentral describes it as "partial 16S ribosomal RNA". It matches the Rfam family "Bacterial small subunit ribosomal RNA", at positions 509 to 808 of the family's 1533-position model. The record is from RNAcentral.